This 455-nucleotide unclassified non-coding RNA is filed under the name uncultured Alteromonadaceae bacterium. Its description in RNAcentral is "partial 16S-23S ribosomal RNA intergenic spacer". The record is from RNAcentral. Lineage: Bacteria; Pseudomonadati; Pseudomonadota; Gammaproteobacteria; Alteromonadales; Alteromonadaceae.
CCUCCUUACUAUUACGUCGAUGACGCCCUUGAUGCAGUGCCUACACAGAUUGUUUUGUUUAUUUAUAAAGACUCGCUUUGCGAGUGUCGCGAAUAGCUGCUUAAACGGAAGAAAAUCUUCCUGACAGCCAUUCUGCUCGCUAAAGUGGUAGUUGUUUUUAAAUAGAAUGCUAAUCAAUAACUCAUUAUUGAUUAGUGUUUUUUUUAUAAUGCACUAAUGUUCUUUAACAAUUUGGAAAGCUGAUAUUAAUAGUAAUCAAUCAAAAGAGUAAUUGAGAAGUCGAAAGACGCACUUUUUUACUCUACUUGACUUGAGUUGCUUGUUAUCGAAACGCCGCAAGGCGGGUUGACCGGCCUUGUCCGGUUUAACAAAAGAAAGGUAGCAAGGCCAAUUUCUUCCCGAAUUAACUCGUCCUUGGCAUACCAACAUUACCCCCAUGUUCCCGACCGUCCAAA